UGUAUUUGUGCUGUUGCCCUGCAGCAGCCAGGGAGGAGCCCCAGGAGAAGGCCCAAGCUGCCUCAGCAAGCCCAGCAUAGGCAAGUCCCUCAGCCGACCUGCAGGCUUUUGAGUACUUCCAUGCUUUACUCAUUUAUAUACACUCAGAUAGUCUUCCAGUUGCACACUCAGCUUUGCAGAGUAGAGAUGCCAGCUCUACCAAACCUGGAACCCGGAUGUGUUUCCAAAUCAUACAGGUACUGUAAUGAGAAGCUUAUCUUCCUGGAUUGGAAUAUAAGCUGGAUUGGAAUAUCCGGUAUGGCUUUCAGAUUCAAAUCCAAAUGUGGUUCCUCGAACCUCUUCCUCAGUGUGCGACCGCAGGUGCGUCUUCAGAUUCUCCAGGCGAGAGUAGGCCUUCAAGCAGCCCUCAAACUGGGAAGAAGUGGGUUUGGUCAGUGAGACACCCCAGAUCCACACAGGAAGCCUGACCUGCGCCUCAGCCUCCUCCCAAGUCCCUUCACUGCUCCACUCUGCUGGUGCAACCAAGAGGUCUUCCUACUGGAUGGUGCUGCUGUAGGUGUUUGCAUGCUACAAGGCUGGCCAAGAGCUGCACAUCUAGGCACUACAGCAGCUCACCAGAGAGGCAGAAAACCACGAGGCCCUCAUGACCUAAGGAACAGGCCCAACCGUCAUGCACAUAAAUGCCAAUGUUGGAGCAAGUAAAAUCUAUAGCACUUGGAACUUCAAGGGAAAUCUUUUCAUAUUAGCUUUAGUUUCCAUUUUUAAAGCCUUUCAAAUGAUAAAAAUGCUUCUUGACAAUGCCUUUCAUUUUUUUCUUAUUGGUUUACU
Molecule: long non-coding RNA, 828 nt
Organism: Manis javanica (Malayan pangolin)
Lineage: Eukaryota; Metazoa; Chordata; Mammalia; Pholidota; Manidae
Source: RefSeq, a predicted model, not a curated record